GGAGAAAUACCCAAGAGGCCGAAGGGGCUCCCCUGCUAAGGGAGUAGUGUGCGAAUAGUGCAGCGAGAGUUCAAAUCUCUCUUUCUCCGCCA
RNAcentral lists this transfer RNA (92 nucleotides) under Clostridiales bacterium. RNAcentral's name for it is "tRNA-Ser". It matches the Rfam family "tRNA". From Rfam's summary of the family: Transfer RNA (tRNA) molecules are approximately 80 nucleotides in length. Their secondary structure includes four short double-helical elements and three loops (D, anti-codon, and T loops). Lineage: Bacteria; Bacillati; Bacillota; Clostridia; Eubacteriales. The record is from RNAcentral.